RNA transcript from Siniperca chuatsi (mandarin fish), 3822 nucleotides. It is a transcript of the gene named signal transducer and activator of transcription 1a, with no coding region annotated. The record is from RefSeq and is a predicted model, not a curated record. Lineage: Eukaryota; Metazoa; Chordata; Actinopteri; Centrarchiformes; Sinipercidae. The transcript is spliced from 26 exons.
ACAUGUCACGAAUCCUAAGCGAUGAUUGGCUGACGCUGUUUCCGUACUGUUAGAUACACUACAGGAGCAGCUGCCUGGCACAUUCGUUGCACAAUUUUUGGGAAAAUAUAAACUACAUUUCUGUCAGAAACUGUACACCAGUCCUCAAAAUAAAAGAAGAUGGCGCAGUGGUGCCAGCUCCAGAUGCUGGACUGCAAGUACCUGGAGCAGGUGGACCAGCUGUACGAUGACUCCUUCCCCAUGGACAUCCGACAGUACCUGAGCAAGUGGAUCGAGAGCAUCGACUGGGACACGGUGGCGGUUCAGGACUCUCUGGCCACUGUUCGGUUCCACGACCUCCUGGCUCAGCUGGACGACCAACACAGCCGCUUCGCCCUGGAGAACAACUUCCUGCUGCAGCACAACAUCCGCAAGAUCAAGAGGAACCUGCAGGAUCGGUUCCAGGAAGAUCCAGUCCACAUGGCCAUGAUCAUCUCCAGAAACCUAAAGGAGGAGCAGAGGAUCCUGGCCACCGCGAAAAGUGCCGAGCAGGAGGGUGAGGGGAUGGUGUCGGCCAUGGUGGUGGAGAAACAGAAGCUGGACAUCAAAGUGAAGGAGAUGAAAGACAGAGUCCAGAUGGCAGAUCAGAACAUUAAGAACCUGGAAGAUCUGCAGGACGAGUACGACUUUAAAAUCAACACACUGAAGAACAGAGAGAACGAAAUGAACGGCAUGACACCGAAGGAGCUGGAGAAGGAGAAGAUGACGGUUGGGAGGAUGGGCUUUGAACUGAAAGCCAAACGACAGGACGUGGUGAUCCAGCUCACCGACCUCCUGAACGUCACUCAGGCGCUGCUGUCGGACCUGAUCUCCGAGGAGCUGCCGGAGUGGAAGCAGCGGCAGCAGAUCGCCUGUAUCGGCGGCCCGCCCAACGCCUGCGUGGACCAGCUGCAGAACUGGUUCACAGCAGUAGCGGAGAGUCUGCAGCAGGUCCGUCAGCACCUGAAGAAGCUGCAGGAGCUGGAGCAGAAGUUCACCUACGACAGCGACCCCAUCACACAGAAAAAAGCUUUCCUGGAGGGCCGAGCUCUGGAGCUCCUCAAGAACCUCCUCUCCAACUCCCUGGUUGUAGAGAGGCAGCCCUGCAUGCCCACCCACCCGCAGAGACCCCUGGUGCUGAAAACAGGCGUCCAGUUCACCUUGAAACUCCGGUUCCUGGUGAAGCUGCAGGAGUUUAACUACCAGCUCAAAGUCAAGGCUGUGUUUGAUAAAGACGUGACAGAGAAGAAAGGGUUUCGGAAGUUCAAUGUUUUGGGGACAAACACCAAAGUUAUGAACAUGGAGGAGUCGAACGGCAGCCUGGCAGCAGAGUUCAGACAUUUGCAACUGAAAGAGCAGAAAGUCGCCGGCAACCGAACAAACGAGGGUCCCCUGAUCGUCACAGAGGAGCUUCACUCGCUCAGCUUCGAGUCCGAGCUGCAGCUCAACCAGUCGGGACUCGACAUCAAACUGGAGGCCAUGUCUCUGCCCGUUGUGGUCAUCUCUAAUGUCUGUCAGCUGCCCAGCGGCUGGGCCUCCAUCCUCUGGUACAACAUGCUUACCACUGAGCCCAAGAAUCUGAAGUUCUUCCUCACCCCUCCACCUGCGAAGUGGUCUCAGCUGUCUGAGGUCCUCAGCUGGCAGUUCUCCUCCGUCACCAAGCGAGGCCUGAACCAGGAGCAGCUCAACAUGCUGGCUGACAAACUGCUCGGAGCCAAAGCCCAGAGGAACCCAGAGGGACAAAUCCCCUGGACCAAGUUCUGCAAGCAGAGUGCCAAUGAGAAAGCUUUUCCCUUCUGGUUGUGGAUCGAAGGAAUCCUGGAUGUGAUUAAGAGACACCUGCUUUCCCUCUGGAACGACGGCUCCAUCAUGGGCUUCAUCAGUAAGGAGCGGGAGAAGGCUCUGCUGAGUGACAAGUGUCCUGGUACCUUCCUGCUCAGGUUCAGUGAGAGCAGCAGAGAGGGAGCUAUCACCUUCACCUGGAUCGAACACGACGUCCACGACAAGCCGGUCUUCCACUCUGUGGAGCCGUACACAAAGAAGGAGCUGUCCGCCGUCUCUCUGCCCGACAUCAUCCGCACCUACAAGGUGAUGGCCGCCGAGAACAUCCCCGAGAACCCGCUCCGCUUCCUCUACCCCAACAUCCCAAAGGACAAGGCCUUCGGGAAGUACUACCCCAAACCCUCAGAGACUGCAGAGCCCAUGGACGUGGAGAACCCAGAGAGGACCGGCUACAUGAAGACGGAGCUCAUAUCUGUCUCCGAAGUACACCCGUCCAGACUGCAGGACAACAUUCUGCCGAUGUCCCCGGACGACUACAAGGCUUUGGAGCAGUACGUCAGUCCCAGAGACAUUGAUGCUGUGCGCACUAAAUACCAGCGGCGGUGGUGAGGGAGGAGCUGGGAGCUUUUCUCAGGACGGCCAACAAUCUGAUUUCUGGAUUUGAAGAUCUUGACGUUCAGAUGAGUGCAGAGUAUCCGGACCAAAACUGAGGACGACAAGAGUUUCUUCACUCCAUCCACGUCACAUCGUACUUUAUUUCAGAGCUUUUGUUUCUUUAGAGUUCAUAAGAUCUCGGUUGAUCAUGUAAAAUGCUCUUAGUGGUGUUGAAACUCUCCUUUUAACCUUGGAUAAAGGUCAGUACAAUAACCACUCACCAAUCACCUUGCAAGAACAUUGGAGAGACUCAAGCUCCAUUUGGACUGGAUUAACAUUACAGGGGAAGGUGGGGUAUCAAAUAUUUAUUGUAUAUUCACUGAAAAUACAGGAUGUUUGUCUGUAAUAGACAUUCAGCAGGAAAAAGAUAAAAUGGAGAGACAAAAGCAUCCACAGGGGGACGCCGCAGAGUUGAAGGGGAGGCUAAGAUACUGCGCGGGUCAGUCAGAAAUCGCACUGCUUCAUCAGAGGCAUAACUCUGUCAGGUGUGAACACACAGACUCGACACACUGCUAUCAUUCAGUGCGACUUACGCUUCCCGAAGAUGAUAUUAUCUCUGAUGUCCGUCCAGAGUAACCGUCCAUAAAUCCGCUCAGAACUUGCCUGAGAAUCAUCAAAUUUUUAAGUUUUCUUCAGCAUCAAAGUAAUCCAGUGAUAGUUGUCUGUACAUCCAUGGGUUCACUGCAAACAGGAACUGCUAACAGCUCAUUCGGCAUUCUUUUAAUUGAGCUAGUUUGCCAAAUUGUAAACAAAUAUAGGCUAAAAAAAAAAAAAAAAACAGGCCUCAUAAGAGAAUACCUGUACCUACCUGUAGCUGACAUUUCAGCCCAUUUGAGGAGCUUUAAAAUAUCGCACUGCGCUGCUAAAAUAAAAGGAAUAAAUAAAUAGAGUAGAAGGACACGCAGAGAUCCACUUUAAAAUACAAGUUCACAGAAAAACAGCAGAUAAUUAUUUCUGAGGUGGAGAGAAAAACGACCCACAUACUGUACGUGCUCCAGACAGACCUCCCCAAGAGAAACAAAUCCAGUCCGAAUGGGGCUUAAAUCAGGUUAAGACUGUCACUUUGCUUGUGUACAUAUAUCUUUUUUUAUUAAAUGUGAACUAUAAACGCCCCAGUAAUCCCAACUGUAAAACAGUUAAUGUGAUUCAGCAUGCCUUCUUCUUUGUAGCAGAAAUACUAUGAAAACACACACGAAUUCAUAGAAAACUGUAUUAAAAGUAUGAUUUUUUUUAUGUUUCUGGAAAAAUGUAAACAUCUUUGCAUUUCCUGUAGCCUGCCUGAGCUUUUUAUUUAAGUAACAGAAUCAUUAGCUGUUCAUAAAGGUACAGUGGGACAGCUAAGAGCAAUUAAACCACUUGAUGACUUGA